ACCAGACCACGGACGUCUGUAAUCUCAGAGGCUUGUUUGCUGAGGGCGCCUGCGCAGCUGCGACGGCUGCUGUGUCUCCUGGAAAGGGAUUCCCGAAAGGUUUUAUUCCAAAAGGAGAGGUUGGAAGACAUAGCUCAUCUCCUGCUGUGUAUCAGCCAAGAAGGUGUGAGGUGGUGUUCCUUGGGGAUCCGCUUGCAUCUACUUGGGAUGGUUUUGAAACAUGAAUCUUUCGCUCGUCCUGGCUGCCUUUUGCUUGGGAAUAGCCUCCGCUGUUCCAAAAUUUGACCAAAAUUUGGAUACAAAGUGGUACCAGUGGAAGGCAACACACAGAAGAUUAUAUGGCGCGAAUGAAGAAGGAUGGAGGAGAGCAGUGUGGGAAAAGAAUAUGAAAAUGAUUGAACUGCACAAUGGGGAAUACAGCCAAGGGAAACAUGGCUUCACAAUGGCCAUGAAUGCUUUUGGUGACAUGACCAAUGAAGAAUUCAGGCAGAUGAUGGGUUGCUUUCGAAACCAGAAAUUCAGGAAGGGGAAAGUGUUCCGUGAGCCUCUGUUUCUUGAUCUUCCCAAAUCUGUGGAU
RNAcentral lists this small RNA (577 nucleotides) under Pan troglodytes (chimpanzee). RNAcentral describes it as "processed transcript". The record is from RNAcentral. Lineage: Eukaryota; Metazoa; Chordata; Mammalia; Primates; Hominidae.